AGAAACUGUAGUGAUGCAUUGCAUUAUCCAGUUUAUCCAUGUUGCAUGAAAGCCUAGUCUUUGUAGAACAUAUGAGACAAAAUUCCACUCAAUUAUGUCUUACGCUUUCGACAUAUCUGUCUUUACAGCCAUAUUACAGUUCUUUUCUACCUUUGAUCUCUUUAGGAAGUGUAGCACCUCAUAAGUGAUCAAAACGUUGUCUGUUAUAGCCCUUCUCGGA
Molecule: long non-coding RNA, 220 nt
Filed under: Brassica napus (rape)
Lineage: Eukaryota; Viridiplantae; Streptophyta; Magnoliopsida; Brassicales; Brassicaceae
Description: long non-coding RNA (BNAP_LNC017580)
Source: RNAcentral